Molecule: non-coding RNA, 565 nt
Organism: Pelobates cultripes (western spadefoot toad)
Lineage: Eukaryota; Metazoa; Chordata; Amphibia; Anura; Pelobatidae
Source: the annotation of a GenBank genome assembly
UUCAUAAACAGAAAGCCGCACAGGGAGGAUACAAGAUACUGCUGUCUGCAGCAGUGGUCACUGCUGCUCCUUAGAACUCUUUUGUCUUGCACCAUGGGUUGUACCUCUGUCAUAGGGAGUAAUUAUAUUGGAUGGCCAUGGGCCCACACUGGUACUGGGCGAAUCGAUUGGCACCAGACUAAAAGAAACAUUUUAAAAAGCAUAAACAAAUGACAGCUGAUAUGUGCAACUGCCGUCCCAAGGCCAUGGUCUCGGUAGCACUUUGGCAAAUGCAUGCCUUGCAACAUGGAGUGAAUGUCGCAAAGAUGUGCCAUAAUAUCUGUUCUUGUGCUUGGCUUCCAGUCUCCUUGAUCUCCAGCAACAGACAAGGUCCAAGGAGGAUGGGAGGUUGGCCGUGCUCCACAAAAUCUUAGAUGUCGCAGGUCUCGGGUAUCUCAUCAAAGCCUCAAUAUCUUGCGCAUCAGGGGCUGCAUCAGUCCAGUUCUUCUUGGCUGAGAAAUCAUGACUGUAGCACCCAGGUUUGGUACCUUAAAAGAUACCUGCACAGAGCUCCAGUGAAGCCCAU